This 497-nucleotide ribosomal RNA is filed under the name uncultured bacterium. Its description in RNAcentral is "partial 16S ribosomal RNA". It matches the Rfam family "Bacterial small subunit ribosomal RNA", at positions 899 to 1397 of the family's 1533-position model. The record is from RNAcentral.
ACUCAAAUGAAUUGACGGGGGCCCGCACAAGCGGCGGAGCAUGUGGCUUAAUUCGAUGCAACGCGAAGAACCUUACCAAGGCUUGACAUGCGCAGGAAGUCGGCAGAGAUGCCGGUGCCUUCGGGUCUGCGUGCAGGUGGUGCAUGGUUGUCGUCAGCUCGUGUCGUGAGAUGUUGGGUUAAGUCCCGCAACGAGCGCAACCCUCGUUCUGUGUUGCCAGCGCGUGAUGGCGGGGACUCACAGGAGACUGCCGGGGUCAACUCGGAGGAAGGUGGGGAUGAGGUCAAAUCAUCAUGCCCCUUAUGUCUUGGGCUGCACACAUGCUACAAUGGCCGGUACAAAGGGCUGCGAUACCGCGAGGUGGAGCGAAUCCCGGAAAGCCGGUCUCAGUUCGGAUUGGGGUCUGCAACUCGACCCCAUGAAGUCGGAGUCGCUAGUAAUCGCAGAUCAGCAACGCUGCGGUGAAUACGUUCCCGGGCCUUGUACACACCGCCCGU